UGGGGAAUUUUGCGCAAUGGGGGAAACCCUGACGCAGCAACGCCGCGUGAGUGAUGAAGGCUUUCGGGUCGUAAAGCUCUGUCUAGAGGGAAGAAAUGAUAAUCGGUUAAUACCCGGUUUUCUUGACGGUACCUCUGAAGGAAGCACCGGCUAACUCCGUGCCAGCAGCCGCGGCAAUACGGAGGGUGCAAGCGUUGUUCGGAUUUAUUGGGCGUAAAGCGCGUGUAGGCGGUUUGUUAAGUCUGAUGUGAAAGCCCCGGGCUCAACCUGGGAAGUGCAUUGGAGACUGGCAGAAUUGAAUACGGGAGAGGGUAGUGGAAUUCCUAGUGUAGGAGUGAAAUCCGUAGAUAUUAGGAGGAACACCGGUGGCGAAGGCGGCUACCUGGACCGAUAUUGACGCUGAGACGCGAAAGCGUGGGGAGCAAACA
This 428-nucleotide ribosomal RNA is filed under the name uncultured bacterium. RNAcentral's name for it is "bacterial SSU rRNA". It matches the Rfam family "Bacterial small subunit ribosomal RNA", at positions 355 to 774 of the family's 1533-position model. The record is from RNAcentral.